GCGACACUAGCUCAGUUGGUAGAGCGCAACCUUGCCAAGGUUGAGGUCACGAGUCGAACCUCGUGUGUCGCUCCA
Molecule: transfer RNA, 75 nt
Filed under: Vibrio cholerae
Lineage: Bacteria; Pseudomonadati; Pseudomonadota; Gammaproteobacteria; Vibrionales; Vibrionaceae
Description: tRNA-Gly
Rfam family: tRNA
About the family: Transfer RNA (tRNA) molecules are approximately 80 nucleotides in length. Their secondary structure includes four short double-helical elements and three loops (D, anti-codon, and T loops).
Source: RNAcentral